UCAGCAUGCAAGUCCAGUAUCACUCUUGCAAUGGAAACAAUUCAGGUCGAUGGUCUUCAACAGCCUCCCAGGAUGAAAUCUACAGACGUUGAGAAAGGAGUAAUCGCAUCGCGAGGCCUCAGAAAUGCUUCCCAAGCCCGGGCUGGAAUACUGCGGGGCGGGUACUUCAGGCUGGAGAUUUGAGAUCCUCAUAUUCUGCAGGCUUUUGUACGCAGAGCAUCUGUAGAUGUUCAGUGAAAGAAGAAUUACAGGACAGAAGAUACUCUAAAACAGGCAAUGAAGAAUUAGGAACCAAGUGGCCACAAAGGGCUCAGGCUUUGCAGAGAGGCACCUUCCACCUUAUAAUGAGU
Long non-coding RNA from Nothoprocta perdicaria, 350 nucleotides. RefSeq lists it as uncharacterized. The transcript has 4 exons. The record is from RefSeq and is a predicted model, not a curated record. Lineage: Eukaryota; Metazoa; Chordata; Aves; Tinamiformes; Tinamidae.